RNAcentral lists this unclassified non-coding RNA (145 nucleotides) under soil metagenome. Its description in RNAcentral is "partial internal transcribed spacer 1". The record is from RNAcentral.
UAAUAAGUGUUUUAUGGCACUUUUUAAAUCCAUAUCCACCUUGUGUGCAAUGUCAGUCGAUCUUCUUCAUGGAGAUCGACCAAACAUCAACCUUUAUCUUUUAACUCUUUGUCAGAAAAAUAUUAUGAACAAACAAUUCAAAAUA